GCUAUGGUUUUGAGUUUUUAUUUUUGAAUUUACAUACCUUUGUAACGUGCCUUAACUACUUGCAAUUCCCACAAGUUGCAUCAGGCCUCCACCAACAGUAUUUCUCAGAAUGUGUGGUCUUCUUGCAAUGCAUACAAGGAGGAAAAUUUUAUGUUUUGAACCUUCACUGCUGUCAUCACCUUCAUUUUUGCCUUUGUUCUUCUGAUUGAAUUAUUUUUUGCCCUUACCAACUUGUUGCUUUUGCACAUGGAAAACACUUUCAA
RNAcentral lists this long non-coding RNA (263 nucleotides) under Carica papaya (papaya). RNAcentral describes it as "long non-coding RNA (CPAP_LNC004674)". Lineage: Eukaryota; Viridiplantae; Streptophyta; Magnoliopsida; Brassicales; Caricaceae. The record is from RNAcentral.